Molecule: ribosomal RNA, 462 nt
Filed under: Triticum aestivum (bread wheat)
Lineage: Eukaryota; Viridiplantae; Streptophyta; Magnoliopsida; Poales; Poaceae
Description: partial small subunit ribosomal RNA
Source: RNAcentral
AUGUGUGCUAAAAUAAAUGUUGAUGCGGUGGUCGGACCCAACCGAGGAUGUGGAGCUAUUGCUACAAUAUGCCUGGAUCAAUCUGGCCUAUUCUAGGGAGAAUCAACUAUUGCUAUCAAGGGAAUCAGUGACCCGUCAACUCUUGAAGCUUUAGCAGUUCAAGAGGCUCUAGCCCUUGCUGAAGAUCUCAACCUCCGCAGGAUUCAUAUUGCCUCGGAUUGCAAGGUUAUAGUGGAUGACAUCAAGCAAAGAACUCUGGCUAGCUACGGUGCUAUCUUACAUGAAAUCAUAGACCAUAGUAGUUCUUUUACUUCUUGCACUUUUGGUCACGAGUUUAGGAGCUCGGAUUUCGAGGCUCACAAUCUAGCGAAGCAUGUGUUAAAGUUAGGGGUUGGCCUUCAUGUUUGGUUAGGCAACCCGGUUAAUCUCUUUUUUGUACCUUUGAACAUUGGUCCGAGUUAA